GGAGUGGUAUCGAAGUGGUCAUAACGGGACUGACUCGAAAUCAGUUGACGGGCAACCGUCCGUGGGUUCGAAUCCCACCCACUCCGCCA
Molecule: transfer RNA, 89 nt
Filed under: Bacteroidales bacterium
Lineage: Bacteria; Pseudomonadati; Bacteroidota; Bacteroidia; Bacteroidales
Also listed under: 3 other names
Description: tRNA-Ser
Rfam family: tRNA
About the family: Transfer RNA (tRNA) molecules are approximately 80 nucleotides in length. Their secondary structure includes four short double-helical elements and three loops (D, anti-codon, and T loops).
Source: RNAcentral